This 548-nucleotide long non-coding RNA is filed under the name Mus caroli (Ryukyu mouse). RNAcentral's name for it is "lncRNA (MGP_CAROLIEiJ_G0006686.1)". The record is from RNAcentral. Lineage: Eukaryota; Metazoa; Chordata; Mammalia; Rodentia; Muridae.
GCGGAGUAAACAAUGGCAGGGGCGGGGCUCGGCGCGGGGGUCCCGAGGCUGGAGCUGGGGAUCCCUGUCCCAGGCCUCUGGGAGAUGGGUCCGGACAAGGGAACUGAGCGGACGCCCGGGCCGCUCCCACGCGUGCACUUCCUGUCGCCGGCUGCCGGAGGAGAUGUCAAACACCUGCCUCGAUCCUGGAAGUUUAGCAGUUUAGCAGAAAUAGAAAUGCCCCUGUGGCAGACUUUGGACUGCAAUCCCUAUCCAAGCCGGCUGCUUAUAGGAGAGCCGCUUUGACUCUUGAGAGUCCAGUUCCCAUCUGCCUUUCACGGGCAUACAGGGGUGAGUCUAGUUCUCAACUCGAUUGUUCUCACACUGGAACCGGAACACAGAAGUCUCCCUUAACCUUCAGCACAUAUCGAUACUGCAGGCCCGAUCUGAACCCCGACGUGGGGAAAAUCAUCAGGGGAGCGUCCCUGCCAGACUCCUGUCAGGGCUAGGAGGCUCGAACCCCGGCCGAAGGAUGCUGGCGGCGGCCGUUGCCGUGCAACACGAUGUUU